RNAcentral lists this ribosomal RNA (404 nucleotides) under uncultured bacterium. Its description in RNAcentral is "bacterial SSU rRNA". It matches the Rfam family "Bacterial small subunit ribosomal RNA", at positions 359 to 775 of the family's 1533-position model. The record is from RNAcentral.
GAAUAUUGCGCAAUGGGCGAAAGCCUGACGCAGCGACGCCGCGUGAGGGAUGAAGGCCUUCGGGUUGUAAACCUCUUUCAGCAGGGAAGAAGCGAAAGUGACGGUACCUGCAGAAGAAGCACCGGCUAACUACGUGCCAGCAGCCGCGGUAAUACGUAGGGUGCAAGCGUUGUCCGGAAUUAUUGGGCGUAAAGAGCUCGUAGGCGGUCUGUCGCGUCUGCUGUGAAAUCCCAGGGCUUAACCCUGGGCCUGCAGUGGGUACGGGCAGACUAGAGUGCGGUAGGGGAGAUCGGAAUUCCUGGUGUAGCGGUGAAAUGCGCAGAUAUCAGGAGGAACACCGGUGGCGAAGGCGGAUCUCUGGGCCGUAACUGACGCUGAGGAGCGAAAGCAUGGGUAGCGAACAG